RNAcentral lists this ribosomal RNA (467 nucleotides) under uncultured bacterium. Its description in RNAcentral is "bacterial SSU rRNA". It matches the Rfam family "Bacterial small subunit ribosomal RNA", at positions 335 to 795 of the family's 1533-position model. The record is from RNAcentral.
GUCCUACGGGAGGCAGCAGUGGGGAAUUUUGGACAAUGGGCGAAAGCCUGAUCCAGCCAUGCCGCGUGAGUGAAGAAGGCCUUCGGGUUGUAAAGCUCUUUCGGUCGGGAAGAAAUAGUUGUGGCUAAUAUCCACAAUGAAUGACGGUACCGACAUAAGAAGCACCGGCUAACUACGUGCCAGCAGCCGCGGUAAUACGUAGGGUGCAAGCGUUAAUCGGAAUUAUUGGGCGUAAAGGGUGCGCAGGCGGUUGUAUAAGUCAGAUGUGAAAUCCCUGGGCUUAACCUAGGAAUUGCGUUUGAAACUAUAUGACUAGAGUGUGACAGAGGGGAGUGGAAUUCCAUGUGUAGCAGUGAAAUGCGUAGAGAUGUGGAAGAACACCGAUGGCGAAGGCAGCUCCCUGGGUUAACACUGACGCUCAUGCACGAAAGCGUGGGGAGCAAACAGGAUUAGAUACCCGUGUAGUC